CGAUAAUUAAUUGCAAUGCCUACUAGAUAAUAGUAGUUAACUAUUGUGCACAACUUUUUCUCAGUAUAAUAUUUAGUCUCAACUUGGUUUUUGGUUGUUGACAAAUUCAUGAUGAUAUUUCGUACACUUAUAAUCUCGGUACAAAUACUUCUAGUCUUAAAUGAAAAUCCAGAAUUGGCAUUUAAAAUAUCUAAACAAAAG
Molecule: non-coding RNA, 201 nt
Organism: Cinara cedri
Lineage: Eukaryota; Metazoa; Arthropoda; Insecta; Hemiptera; Aphididae
Source: the annotation of a GenBank genome assembly